Non-coding RNA from Chrysemys picta bellii (western painted turtle), 363 nucleotides. The record is from the annotation of a RefSeq genome assembly. NCBI's taxonomy places the organism in Eukaryota, Metazoa, Chordata, Testudines, Emydidae.
AUGUGGAGGGCACUGGGUGUCUUCCUGGUUUUCCAGCUGCUGUCAGGUCUUUGCAGUGGGGUGACGGUGACGCAGAAGGAGAAGUUUAUAGCCAUCCAGAAUGGGAGCAAGGGAAGUAUCCCGUGUGAACAUGACGACAAUUCCUACUAUACUGUCCUGUGGUAUCAGCAGAAGAAUGGUGCAGAAAGGCAGCUGCAGUUAGUAGCCACCUCUUUAGAUGUGAAUUCAGCAGAAAUGGAAAAAGAGUUCAAAACCAGAUUCAAUGUGACACGGCCAGCAACACUGAACACCUCCCUGACAAUCAACCCGGGGAUGGUUGAAGACACUGCAGUGUAUUUCUGUGCAGCUAGUAAAGCACAGUGA